This 468-nucleotide ribosomal RNA is filed under the name uncultured bacterium. RNAcentral describes it as "partial 16S ribosomal RNA". It matches the Rfam family "Bacterial small subunit ribosomal RNA", at positions 28 to 507 of the family's 1533-position model. The record is from RNAcentral.
GACGAACGCUGGCGGCGUGCCUAACACAUGCAAGUCGAACGGAAAGGCCCUGCUUUUGUGGGGUGCUCGAGUGGCGAACGGGUGAGUAACACGUGAGUAACCUGCCCUUGACUUUGGGAUAACUUCAGGAAACUGGGGCUAAUACCGGAUAGGAGCUCCUGCUGCAUGGUGGGGGUUGGAAAGUUUCGGCGGUUGGGGAUGGACUCGCGGCUUAUCAGCUUGUUGGUGGGGUAGUGGCUUACCAAGGCUUUGACGGGUAGCCGGCCUGAGAGGGUGACCGGCCACAUUGGGACUGAGGUACGGCCCAGACUCCUACGGGAGGCAGCAGUGGGGAAUAUUGCACAAUGGGCGGAAGCCUGAUGCAGCGACGCCGCGUGCGGGAUGACGGCCUUCGGGUUGUAAACCGCUUUCGCCUGUGACGAAGCGUGAGUGACGGUAAUGGGUAAAGAAGCACCGGCUAACUACGUG